AAGUCGUAACAAGGUUUCCGUAGGUGAACCUGCGGAAGGAUCAUUAACACGUAUCCAACGUUAAACAACCCUGUGAACUUUAAGUCCCAAACAGUUUUGAUUCGGGACCUCUGUCCAAAAGGAGUUGCAAUCGAAGGGUGGAAGCAGUGGCAUGGCUUCCCCAAGCAGUUAGUGAAUGACAGUGUCACUGACUGUGUAAGGAUAACGCCUCACGGUUGCUAGAGGUCGAUCACCGACCGGCAGACAUGUCACAGGGUCACCACGCCCCUUAAUCACUCCACUUGAAAAUGCCCCGCCUAGUGGUAACGCGCUAGGUAAAAAAAACCGAACAACUGUUAACAAUGGAUAUCUUGGUUCUC
RNAcentral lists this unclassified non-coding RNA (359 nucleotides) under fungal sp. RNAcentral's name for it is "partial internal transcribed spacer region". The stretch from base 1 to 46 matches the Rfam family "Eukaryotic small subunit ribosomal RNA", at positions 1786 to 1831 of the family's 1831-position model. The record is from RNAcentral. Lineage: Eukaryota; Fungi.